RNAcentral lists this transfer RNA (98 nucleotides) under Nitrososphaerota archaeon. RNAcentral describes it as "Thaumarchaeota archaeon (marine metagenome) tRNA-Leu". It matches the Rfam family "tRNA". From Rfam's summary of the family: Transfer RNA (tRNA) molecules are approximately 80 nucleotides in length. Their secondary structure includes four short double-helical elements and three loops (D, anti-codon, and T loops). The record is from RNAcentral. Lineage: Archaea; Thermoproteati; Nitrososphaerota. RNAcentral also lists the same sequence under 1 other name.
GCAGGGGUAGCGACCCGGUCAACCGCGGAUUAACAAAGCGGAAAGGACUCAAGAUCCUCUCCUCUAGAGGUUCAUGGGUUCAAAUCCCAUCCCCUGCA